AGGAAGUGCGAACUCAGACUGGAA
RNAcentral lists this non-coding RNA (24 nucleotides) under Cricetulus griseus (Chinese hamster). The record is from RNAcentral. Lineage: Eukaryota; Metazoa; Chordata; Mammalia; Rodentia; Cricetidae.